RNAcentral lists this ribosomal RNA (301 nucleotides) under uncultured bacterium. Its description in RNAcentral is "partial 16S ribosomal RNA". It matches the Rfam family "Bacterial small subunit ribosomal RNA", at positions 509 to 809 of the family's 1533-position model. The record is from RNAcentral.
CAGUCGCCACGGUAAUACAGAGGGUGCAAGCGUUAAUCGGAAUUACUGGGCGUAAAGCGCGCGUAGGUGGUUCGCCAAGUCAGAUGUGAAAUCCCCGGGCUUAACCUGGGAACUGCAUUUGAAACUGUCAGGCUGGAGUCUUGUAGAGGGGGGUGGAAUUCCAGGUGUAGCGGUGAAAUGCGUAGAGAUCUGGAGGAAUACCGGUGGCGAAGGCGGCCCCCUGGACAAAGACUGACGCUCAGGUGCGAAAGCGUGGGGAGCAAACAGGAUUAGAUACCCCGGUAGUCCCUGUCUCUUAUAA